This 489-nucleotide long non-coding RNA is filed under the name Numida meleagris (helmeted guineafowl). RNAcentral describes it as "lncRNA (ENSNMEG00000018384.1)". Lineage: Eukaryota; Metazoa; Chordata; Aves; Galliformes; Numididae. The record is from RNAcentral.
CAUGGAUAUACCUAGCUCUAUUUUGGCUUCAGAGCAGUCUAGCAGUCAGUCCACAAUGAUGGGAUGUAUUUCUAGUCGUACCAAUAUCACUAAGCAUCGUGCAGUCGCAAAAGGAUGGUAGUGCAGAGACUUCUGCAAGUGAGACUGAAGGGAGCUGGAACCAGGGGGAUUUCCCAAAAAGAACAAGGAGAUCAGAUGUUGAUGGUUUCUAUUAAUCUUAGUGGAAAAAAAAACAAAACAACCAAACUAGUCAAUGAACCAACCAACCACCACCACCACCAACAAAAUCAAACAAUAACGAAGAACGCACAGAAAUACAGUCAAACAACAACAACAACAAAAAACAACGCAGUAAGUCCAAAGAGCAAUUCAUUUUUUUUCCACUGACUGUGGAGAGGUUGCAAAUUACCAACAUAGAUGCAACAACUAGCUUAUACAUACCAAAAAUUAGCCAGGGAAUUUGGUUCUAAAUACUUGACUUCGAAAAUG